AGAGCUUCGGCAGGAAUUUAAUAAAUCUUAGUGGCGGACGGGUGAGUAACGUGUGGGCAACCUGCCUUAUACUGGGGAAUAAUCACUGGAAACGGUGACUAAUACCGCAUAAUGUCUUUUUACGGCAUCGUAAGAAGAAGAAAGGAGCAAUCCGGUAAAAGAUGGGCCCGCAUCUGAUUAGCUAGUUGGUGAGAUAACAGCCCACCAAGGCGACGAUCAGUAGCCGACCUGAGAGGGUGAUCGGCCACAUUGGGACUGAGACACGGCCCAAACUCC
RNAcentral lists this ribosomal RNA (276 nucleotides) under uncultured Eubacteriales bacterium. RNAcentral's name for it is "uncultured Clostridiales bacterium partial 16S ribosomal RNA". It matches the Rfam family "Bacterial small subunit ribosomal RNA", at positions 71 to 339 of the family's 1533-position model. The record is from RNAcentral. Lineage: Bacteria; Bacillati; Bacillota; Clostridia; Eubacteriales.